UUGCCAACGACAACCGUGCUCCGGUCGCUCUGGCUGCGUAAGCAGCUCGGGUAACCGAAAAUCAAGUCCUUGCGCUUAGCCGCGCAAGGCGGGGUUCGCAGGCACCUGGCAACAGAAGCCUGCACU
RNAcentral lists this transfer-messenger RNA (126 nucleotides) under Paracoccaceae bacterium. RNAcentral describes it as "Rhodobacteraceae bacterium (activated sludge metagenome) partial transfer-messenger RNA". It matches the Rfam family "Alphaproteobacteria transfer-messenger RNA", at positions 230 to 355 of the family's 355-position model. From Rfam's summary of the family: Bacterial tmRNA, also known as 10Sa RNA or SsrA, is named for its dual tRNA and mRNA-like properties. Its role is to liberate the mRNA from a stalled ribosome. To accomplish this part of the tmRNA is used as a reading frame that ends in a translation stop signal. Lineage: Bacteria; Pseudomonadati; Pseudomonadota; Alphaproteobacteria; Rhodobacterales; Paracoccaceae. The record is from RNAcentral.